UGGGGUAUCGCCAAGUGGUAAGGCACCGGUUUUUGGUAUCGGCAUUCGGAGGUUCGAAUCCUCCUACCCCAGCCA
This 75-nucleotide transfer RNA is filed under the name Halomonas binhaiensis. RNAcentral's name for it is "Halomonas sp. Y2R2 tRNA-Gln". It matches the Rfam family "tRNA". From Rfam's summary of the family: Transfer RNA (tRNA) molecules are approximately 80 nucleotides in length. Their secondary structure includes four short double-helical elements and three loops (D, anti-codon, and T loops). Lineage: Bacteria; Pseudomonadati; Pseudomonadota; Gammaproteobacteria; Oceanospirillales; Halomonadaceae. The record is from RNAcentral.